This 713-nucleotide ribosomal RNA is filed under the name Pseudomonas aeruginosa. RNAcentral's name for it is "bacterial SSU rRNA". It matches the Rfam family "Bacterial small subunit ribosomal RNA", at positions 91 to 801 of the family's 1533-position model. The record is from RNAcentral. Lineage: Bacteria; Pseudomonadati; Pseudomonadota; Gammaproteobacteria; Pseudomonadales; Pseudomonadaceae.
UUCAGCGGCGGACGGGUGAGUAAUGCCUAGGAAUCUGCCUGGUAGUGGGGGAUAACGUCCGGAAACGGGCGCUAAUACCGCAUACGUCCUGAGGGAGAAAGUGGGGGAUCUUCGGACCUCACGCUAUCAGAUGAGCCUAGGUCGGAUUAGCUAGUUGGUGGGGUAAAGGCCUACCAAGGCGACGAUCCGUAACUGGUCUGAGAGGAUGAUCAGUCACACUGGAACUGAGACACGGUCCAGACUCCUACGGGAGGCAGCAGUGGGGAAUAUUGGACAAUGGGCGAAAGCCUGAUCCAGCCAUGCCGCGUGUGUGAAGAAGGUCUUCGGAUUGUAAAGCACUUUAAGUUGGGAGGAAGGGCAGUAAGUUAAUACCUUGCUGUUUUGACGUUACCAGCAGAAUAAGCACCGGCUAACUUCGUGCCAGCAGCCGCGGUAAUACGAAGGGUGCAAGCGUUAAUCGGAAUUACUGGGCGUAAAGCGCGCGUAGGUGGUUCAGCAAGUUGGAUGUGAAAUCCCCGGGCUCAACCUGGGAACUGCAUCCAAAACUACUGAGCUAGAGUACGGUAGAGGGUGGUGGAAUUUCCUGUGUAGCGGUGAAAUGCGUAGAUAUAGGAAGGAACACCAGUGGCGAAGGCGACCACCUGGACUGAUACUGACACUGAGGUGCGAAGCGUGGGGAGCAAACAGGAUUAGAUACCCUGGUAGUCCACGCC